This 481-nucleotide ribosomal RNA is filed under the name uncultured Singulisphaera sp. RNAcentral describes it as "partial 16S ribosomal RNA". Lineage: Bacteria; Pseudomonadati; Planctomycetota; Planctomycetia; Isosphaerales; Isosphaeraceae. The record is from RNAcentral.
CACGAACUUAGCCCGUGCUUCCUCCAGGGAUCAGUCAAGCCCCUUGCGGGGCCUUCUUCCCCCUCGACAGGAGUUUACAACCCGAAGGCCUUCGUCCUCCACGCGGCGUCGCUCGGUCAGGCUUGCGCCCAUUGCCGAAGAUUCUCGACUGCAGCCUCCCGUAGGAGUCUGGGCAGUGUCUCAGUCCCAGUGUGCCGGGCCACGCUCGCACGCCCGGUAGGCAUCGCAGGCUUGGUGGGCCGUUACCCCGCCAACGACCUAAUACCACGACGGCCCGUCCCACGGCACCGGAGCUUUGGCGGCGGGCCGAUGCCGGCCCGACGCGUCGCCGGGGAUUACCCGCGGUUUCCCGCGGCUAUACCCGACCAUGGGGUUGGUUACCGUCGCCUUACUCACCCUUGCGCCACUGGCCUUGCGGCCCGUACGACUUGCAUGCCUAAUCCACGCCGCCAACGUUCAUUCUGAGCCAGGAUCAAACUCU